UACGUAGGGUGCAAGCGUUGUCCGGAAUUAUUGGGCGUAAAGAGCUCGUAGGCGGUUUGUCGCGUCUGCUGUGAAAACUCGGGGCUUAACCCCGGGCCUGCAGUGGGUACGGGCAGACUAGAGUGCGGUAGGGGAGACUGGAAUUCCUGGUGUAGCGGUGAAAUGCGCAGAUAUCAGGAGGAACACCGGUGGCGAAGGCGGGACUCUGGGCCGAUACUGACGCUGAGGAGCGAAAGCGUGGGGAGCAAACAGG
RNAcentral lists this ribosomal RNA (253 nucleotides) under uncultured bacterium. RNAcentral's name for it is "partial 16S ribosomal RNA". It matches the Rfam family "Bacterial small subunit ribosomal RNA", at positions 524 to 776 of the family's 1533-position model. The record is from RNAcentral.